UUGUUCGGAUUUACUGGGCGUAAAGGGCUUGUAGGUGGCCAACUAAGUCAGACGUGAAAUCCCUCGGCUUAACCGGGGAACUGCGUCUGAUACUGGAUGGCUGGAGUGUGGGAGAGGGAUGCGGAAUUCCAGGUGUAGCGGUGAAAUGCGUAGAUAUCUGGAGGAACACCGGUGGCGAAGGCGGCAUCCUGGACCAUUACUGACACUGAAAAGCGAAAGCCAGGGGAGCAAACGGG
This 236-nucleotide ribosomal RNA is filed under the name uncultured bacterium. RNAcentral's name for it is "partial 16S ribosomal RNA". It matches the Rfam family "Bacterial small subunit ribosomal RNA", at positions 541 to 776 of the family's 1533-position model. The record is from RNAcentral.